GGUUUUGAUUAGUUAAUCCUAGAGGUAUCGUGAAACAUUUUGGUCAUUUUAAUCCUUAAAAUCUAUAUUUGUGACAAUACUUUUUUAGGGAUAUUUGAAGAUAUCUAUCUAUUAUUAUAAAAAGAUGUUGUUGACCCUACUGCGAGGCGACGUGGAAACUAUCUCAGUAUAGAGGCGACGCGUGUCCAACCUUCCCGAAACGCACAGCUUUAUUUAUUCUAAAUCUAAUGGGCUUUAAUCGUUUGCCCACUGCGGCCCAAACAAACAAAGUUCGUUCCUAACCCUAAUUCUAAUGACGCGGAUUCUUCUCUCCUCUUCUUCAACGUGCCGACACAACUUCAUCUUUCGUAAACUGACCAUGGAAUUUGUUGAAGGUGAUGGGAGACGAGAUUCUAAAGCUGAUCUAAGUGGUGUUAAUCUGUUCGUGUCCUUAGAAUGAAUUUCUUUACGCUAGAUAAGAGAAAUUCGAACCGUUACGGGAUGCAAUCAAUCGUCGUCAUUAGUGAUCAUCUUAACUGCUUAAUUCCACUUUUACCACGAUUCCUCAUCCAAUAGCCAUGUUCGUUUCAUAGACGCCGCAUCCGGCGGCUGCGUCAACAAAAUGAUCCGUGACGUGACGGAGACAAAAAUAAAAAAGCUAGAGACGCAGAAAACCCAAAGUAGUAGCUAAAAUAUUGCAGGAAAGGCAAAAAUUUAGACGCUGAUGACGCUGCUUUAUUUCGCGUCCGUUAUAUUGGCUAGUAGCUGCCGCAGUGACUGAAAAUCAGUGAAUUGUGCUUCACAGGUGCUGUGUGUUUCUGUCAUUAAAGACUUAAUUUUUUGACGCAACCACCUGAAUCAGCGCGAAGAAACGAACAGGGCUAAUGUAUCUGCCCUCCCUUUCAGUCGGUGAAUCUACAUGUAUAAAAAGAUACCUCUGGUGAUGUUGAGAAACAAACGCCUCCCUUUUCCUUAAAGAUCUACAUAUAACGUUAGGAAUAGAGUUCAUGGUGUUCUGGAGUUUCUGGUUUCAUAACUAGAACAUGGAGUUUUGGGAAGGUGAUGGGAGACGACUAUUUACGGUGAAUCUCUGGAGUGAGCUGCCGUUUGUUCUGGCUUUCUUCUCGCUGGCAAAUGGAAACCCGAAUUAUGGGUUUUUAGUGUUUAAUCUAUCCUUCCAGUCCCGGAUUGCAAACUUUAUACGGGUCAUAGCAUUAUAAAUUGAACCUGAUCAACAUGAGCCAAGCUAAUCACAUGAGAUCUUUGAGUGAGAGUCAAUACCUAUGGCAAGACAACUGAUUUUGCUUAUAAUUAUAUCAUCAUAUAAUUGAAAAUUUAAAACCUCAUGUUGGAGACAAAUUACAAUUAUAAAAAUGAGAUUCCUGUUGUUUUAUCUAUCCUUGCAGGCCCAGAUUGUAGACUUUCAAAUGAAAGUUGUUCAAGUAGAUGUUACAGAAGUUUUCUGACAUAUGGAGUUGUGUUGGAAGCAUGCUGGUAGCUCACGAUUUGUCUCUCACUUUUAAGGAAAAAUAAAUACAGAUUCGAAUGAGAAUGUUCUGCUUAUACGGGUUUGACGAUCUUUGGAAUCUAUCAUGGUGAUCACGACAUUGAUGGCUGUCUAUGGUUUUAAACUAGAGUAGCUUCCUUCAAUUUAAAUUAUUCUCAGAAAAAUGUAGUGUUACGAAAUAGAUGGUGAAGAUAUAUAAUGGGCAUGUCUAUUUUUAUUGUUCAGAUUAAAAGAGAAGUAUCCAAUAUUAUUGUGAGAGUGGUAGUUGGUAAACUUUUGCUGUCACGAAUAUAGAGCUCUCACAUGUAAGACGCCAACAUAAACUAUAAUGUGAGUUUCUUCUUUUCUUUUAUUGUUCUUUCCACAUAUCUCUAAAUAUUCUAUGUUUUAUACGUUCUUACUAAUGCAACUCUUGGAUAAGAACCAUACAACAGGAAAGACUAGAUGUUUUAUGUUUUCCUCUGUUCUUAUCAGAAAAUGUAUUUUUCUUUCUGUUUUAGCUAAUUUAGAAUGGAAGGUUAGUUUGUUUAGAUCACUGAGGAAGCUAGAGAGCUUGAAAAGCAACUCAGACAGACCACUUAGGAGAAGAAUGAAGCUGUGCGAGGCCAAGACUUUGGGAAGGUGUUGUCUUUGAGUUUUCUUACUGUCUAUAAACCCAAGAUAAGUGUUGUCCGAUAAAUCUAGCUGUCUUUUCCAAUAUUGAGCAGAGCCUCCACGCCGGUUAUUGGCCAACACGAAGCUGUCAAAGCCAUUAACCGGGAGAUUCGACGUGCAUGUGCUGGGCUAAAGAAUCCGAACCGCCCAAUCACAAGUUUCAUUUUCAAUGUUAAACGAUUUUUCUUUAAAGUGUUCUAUGUACAUUAUAUUUUAUGUAAUUCUUUCAUGCUGCUUGACAGAUUUGUAAACUAUGCAUUUUAAAAAAUGUACUAAUCAUUUCUCAUA
This is a long non-coding RNA of Brassica napus (rape), 2428 nucleotides long. RefSeq lists it as uncharacterized. The record is from RefSeq and is a predicted model, not a curated record. Lineage: Eukaryota; Viridiplantae; Streptophyta; Magnoliopsida; Brassicales; Brassicaceae. The transcript has 3 exons.